RNAcentral lists this ribosomal RNA (443 nucleotides) under uncultured bacterium. Its description in RNAcentral is "partial 16S ribosomal RNA". It matches the Rfam family "Bacterial small subunit ribosomal RNA", at positions 338 to 795 of the family's 1533-position model. The record is from RNAcentral.
CCUACGGGAGGCUGCAGUGGGGAAUAUUGCGCAAUGGGCGAAAGCCUGACGCAGCGACGCCGCGUGCGGGAUGAAGGCCUUCGGGUCGUAAACCGCUGUCGCGAGGGACGAAACAAAUGACGGUACCUCGAAAGGAAGCACCGGCUAACUCUGUGCCAGCAGCCGCGGUAAUACAGAGGGUGCGAGCGUUGUCCGGAAUUACUGGGCGUAAAGGGCGCGUAGGUGGCUUGAUAAGUAGGAGGUGAAAUCUCACGGCUCAACCGGGAGGCUGCCUUCUAGACUGUCAGGCUCGAGCAUGGUAGAGGCAGAUGGAAUUCCCGGUGUAGCGGUGGAAUGCGUAGAGAUCGGGAAGAACACCAGUGGCGAAGGCGGUCUGCUGGGCCAUAGCUGACACUGAGGCGCGACAGCGUGGGGAGCAAACAGGAUUAGAUACCCGGGUAGUC